AGAGUUUGAUCAUGGCUCAGAACGUACGCUGGCGGCACGCCUAAUACAUGCAAGUCGAACGAAGUAGCAAUACUUAGUGGCAGACGGGUGAGUAACAUGUAGGUAUCUUCCCUUUGGUGAGGAAUAACACGAGGAAACUUGUGCUAAUACCUCAUAAGUCUUUACGGAGAAAGCUUUAUGCGCCAUUGGAUGAGCCUGCACUUGAUUAGUUUGUUGGUGGGGUAAUGGCCUACCAAGACAAUGAUCAAUAGCUGAUUUGAGAGGAUGAUCAGCCACAUUGGGACUGAGACACGGCCCAAACUCCUACGGGAGGCAGCAGUAGGGAAUCUUGCACAAUGGGGGAAACCCUGAUGCAGCGAUGCCGCGUGAGUGAAGAAGGCCUUUGGGUUGUAAAGCUCUUUCGUCGGGGAAGAAAAUGACUGUACCCGAAUAAGAAGGUCCGGCUAACUUCGUGCCAGCAGCCGCGGUAAUACGAAGGGACCUAGCGUAGUUCGGAAUUACUGGGCUUAAAGAGUUCGUAGGUGGUUAAAAAAGUUGGUGGUGAAAUCCCAGAGCUUAACUCUGGAACUGCCAUCAAAACUUUUUAGCUAGAGUAUGAUAGAGGAAAGCAGAAUUUCUAGUGUAGAGGUGAAAUUCGUAGAUAUUAGAAAGAAUACCAAUUGCGAAGGCAGCUUUCUGGAUCAUUACUGACACUGAGGAACGAAAGCAUGGGUAGCGAAGAGGAUUAGAUACCCUCGUAGUCCAUGCCGUAAACGAUGUGUGUUAGACGUUGGAAAUUUAUUUUCAGUGUCGCAGCGAAAGCAAUAAACACACCGCCUGGGGAGUACGACCGCAAGGUUAAAACUCAAAUGAAUUGACGGGGACCCGCACAAGUAGUGGAGCAUGUGGUUUAAUUCGAAGAUACGCGCAGAACCUUACCAACACUUGACAUGUUCGUCGCGACUUUAAGAGAUUAAAGUUUUCGGUUCGGCCGGACGAAACACAGGUGCUGCAUGGCUGUCGUCAGCUCGUGUCGUGAGAUGUUGGGUUAAGUCCCGCAACGAGCGCAACCCUUACUUUUAGUUGCCAUCAUUUAGUUGGGCACUCUGAAAGAACUGCCAGUGAUAAGCUGGAGGAAGGUGGGGAUGACGUCAAGUCCUCAUGGCCCUUACGUGUUGGGCUACACACGUGCUACAAUGGCAUUUACAAUAGGAAGCAAGACGGCGACGUUAAGCAAAUCCUAAAAAAAUGCCUCAGUUCGGAUUGUACUCUGCAACUCGAGUACAUGAAGCUGGAAUUACUAGUAAUCGCGGAUCAGCGCGCCGCGGUGAAUACGUUCCCGGGUCUUGUACACACCGCCCGUCACACCAUGGGAGUUGGUUCUACCUUAAGGCAAAGGUUAAAAACUUUGACCACGGUAUAGUCAGCGACUGGGGUGAAGUCGUAACAAGGUAGCCGUA
This 1439-nucleotide ribosomal RNA is filed under the name uncultured bacterium. Its description in RNAcentral is "bacterial SSU rRNA". It matches the Rfam family "Bacterial small subunit ribosomal RNA". The record is from RNAcentral.